UACGUAGGGGGCAAGCGUUGUCCGGAUUUAUUGGGCGUAAAGAGCGUGUAGGCGGUUUGGUAGGUCCGCUGUGAAAACUCGAGGCUCAACCUCGAGACGCCGGUGGAAACCAUCAGACUAGAGUCCGGAAGAGGAGAGUGGAAUUCCUGGUGUAGCGGUGAAAUGCGCAGAUAUCAGGAAGAACACCCGUGGCUAAGGCGGCUCUCUAGUACGGUACUGACGCUGAGACGCGAAAGCCAGGGGAGCGAACGGG
This 253-nucleotide ribosomal RNA is filed under the name uncultured bacterium. RNAcentral describes it as "partial 16S ribosomal RNA". It matches the Rfam family "Bacterial small subunit ribosomal RNA", at positions 524 to 776 of the family's 1533-position model. The record is from RNAcentral.